Molecule: ribosomal RNA, 484 nt
Filed under: uncultured bacterium
Lineage: Bacteria
Description: partial 16S ribosomal RNA
Rfam family: Bacterial small subunit ribosomal RNA
Source: RNAcentral
AUUGAACGCUGGCGGCAGGCCUAACACAUGCAAGUCGAGCGGAUGAAGGGAGCUUGCUCCUGGAUUCAGCGGCGGACGGGUGAGUAAUGCCCAGGAAUCUGCCUGGUAGUGGGGGAUAACGUCCGGAAACGGGCGCUAAUACCGCAUACGUCCUGAGGGCGAAAGUGGGGGAUCCUCGGACCUCACGCUAUCAGAUGAGCCUAGGUCGGAUUAGCUAGUUGGUGGGGUAAAGGCCUACCAAGGCGACGAUCCGUAACUGGUCUGAGAGGAUGAUCAGUCACACUGGAACUGAGACACGGUCCAGACUCCUGCGGGAGGCAACAGUGGGGAAUAUUGGACGAUGGACGAAAGCCUGAUCCAGCCAUGCCGCGUGUGUGAAGAAGGUCUUCGGAUUGUAGAGCACUUUAAGUUGGGGGGAAGGACAGUAAGUUAAUACCUUGCUGUUUUGACGUUACCAACAGAAUAAGCACCGGCUAACUUCGUG